Molecule: ribosomal RNA, 443 nt
Filed under: uncultured bacterium
Lineage: Bacteria
Description: partial 16S ribosomal RNA
Rfam family: Bacterial small subunit ribosomal RNA
Source: RNAcentral
CCUACGGGUGGCAGCAGUGGGGAAUAUUGGGCAAUGGGCGCAAGCCUGACCCAGCAACGCCGCGUGAAGGAAGAAGGCUUUCGGGUUGUAAACUUCUUUUCUCAGGGACGAAGAAAGUGACGGUACCUGAGGAAUAAGCCACGGCUAACUACGUGCCAGCAGCCGCGGUAAUACGUAGGUGGCAAGCGUUAUCCGGAUUUACUGGGUGUAAAGGGCGUGUAGGCGGGACUGCAAGUCAGAUGUGAAAACCACGGGCUCAACCUGUGGCCUGCAUUUGAAACUGUAGUUCUUGAGUACUGGAGAGGUAAGAGGAAUUCCUAGUGUAGCGGUGAAAUGCGUAGAUAUUAGGAGGAACACCAGUGGCGAAGGCGUCUUACUGGACCGAAACUGACGUUGAGGCUCGAAAGCGUGGGGAGCAAACAGGAUUAGAUACCCCAGUAGUC